RNAcentral lists this ribosomal RNA (506 nucleotides) under Pseudomonas sp. K07. Its description in RNAcentral is "bacterial SSU rRNA". It matches the Rfam family "Bacterial small subunit ribosomal RNA", at positions 33 to 526 of the family's 1533-position model. The record is from RNAcentral. Lineage: Bacteria; Pseudomonadati; Pseudomonadota; Gammaproteobacteria; Pseudomonadales; Pseudomonadaceae.
ACGCUGGCGGCGUGGCCCUAACACAUGCAAGUCGAGACGGUCAGACACGGGUACUUGUACCUGGUGGCGAGCGGCGGACGGGUGAGUAAUGCCUAGGAAUCUGCCUGGUAGUGGGGGAUAACGCUCGGAAACGGACGCUAAUACCGCAUACGUCCUACGGGAGAAAGCAGGGGACCUUCGGGCCUUGCGCUAUCAGAUGAGCCUAGGUCGGAUUAGCUAGUUGGUGAGGUAAUGGCUCACCAAGGCGACGAUCCGUAACUGGUCUGAGAGGAUGAUCAGUCACACUGGAACUGAGACACGGUCCAGACUCCUACGGGAGGCAGCAGUGGGGAAUAUUGGACAAUGGGCGAAAGCCUGAUCCAGCCAUGCCGCGUGUGUGAAGAAGGUCUUCGGAUUGUAAAGCACUUUAAGUUGGGAGGAAGGGCAUUUACCUAAUACGUAAGUGUUUUGACGUUACCGACAGAAUAAGCACCGGCUAACUCUGUGCCAGCAGCCGCGGGUAAUAA